GUGUCUGCCUUAUCAACUUUCGAUGGUAGUUUAGGUGCCUACCAUGGUUGUAACGGGUAACGGAGAAUAAGGGUUCGACUCCGGAGAGGGAGCCUGAGAAACGGCUACCACAUCCAAGGAAGGCAGCAGGCGCGCAAAUUACCCAAUCUCGGAAUGAGGAGGUAGUGACGAAAAAUAACGAGACCGUUCUCUUUGAGGCCGGUUAUCGGAAUGGGUACAAUUUAAACCCGUUAACGAGAAUCUAUGAGAGGGCAAGUCUGGUGCCAGCAGCCGCGGUAAUUCCAGCUCUCAAAGUGUAUAUCGUUAUUGCUGCGGUUAAAAAGCUCGUAGUUGGAUCUGCGUCUUAGGGCCUGGUCCGUCCUGUGGACGAGAACUGGGAACCCCUAGACUUCAAAAAGGCCAGUUUUCCCUAUGUUACCUUAAUUGGUUGCAUAGGGUGACGGGGCAAGUUUACCUUGAAAAAAUUAGAGUGCUCAAUGCGGGCUAAUGCCUGAAUAAUGG
RNAcentral lists this ribosomal RNA (501 nucleotides) under Diplotriaena bargusinica. RNAcentral's name for it is "SSU rRNA". It matches the Rfam family "Eukaryotic small subunit ribosomal RNA", at positions 303 to 805 of the family's 1831-position model. Lineage: Eukaryota; Metazoa; Nematoda; Chromadorea; Rhabditida; Diplotriaenidae. The record is from RNAcentral.